UACGUAGGGGGCAAGCGUUGUCCGGAUUCAUUGGGCGUAAAGAGCGUGUAGGCGGCCAGGUAGGUCGGUUGUGAAAACUGGAGGCUCAACCUUCAGACGUCGACGGAAACCGUCUGGCUAGAGUCCGGAAGAGGAGAGUGGAAUUCCUGGUGUAGCGGUGAAAUGCGCAGAUAUCAGGAAGAACACCGAUGGCGAAGGCAGCUCUCUGGGACGGUACUGACGCUGAGACGCGAAAGCGUGGGGAGCGAACAGG
RNAcentral lists this ribosomal RNA (253 nucleotides) under uncultured bacterium. RNAcentral describes it as "partial 16S ribosomal RNA". It matches the Rfam family "Bacterial small subunit ribosomal RNA", at positions 524 to 776 of the family's 1533-position model. The record is from RNAcentral.